RNAcentral lists this long non-coding RNA (281 nucleotides) under Carica papaya (papaya). RNAcentral's name for it is "long non-coding RNA (CPAP_LNC006424)". The record is from RNAcentral. Lineage: Eukaryota; Viridiplantae; Streptophyta; Magnoliopsida; Brassicales; Caricaceae.
UCUCGGGAGAGUUGCAGCUAAGCUUUGUAAAUCUUCUAGCAUAAUCAAUGAUUGAGAGGCUUCUCUAGUUAAGUUGGGCGAAUUCUAUCUCCUUCUGAUGAUGAAUGUGCUCAAAAAAAUAUUCGACAUUAAAUGCCUUCAAGAAGUGCUCCCAUGUGAUGGGCAUGGAUAGAGUAGUUUGCUUAACUUCCCAUCAGCGCUCUGCUUCUCCCUCAAGCAUAAAGGUGGCGAAGAAAACCUUUUAUUCAUUAGCAUCCAAAAUCCAUCAUCUCAGUAUCAUA